Molecule: ribosomal RNA, 484 nt
Filed under: uncultured bacterium
Lineage: Bacteria
Description: bacterial SSU rRNA
Rfam family: Bacterial small subunit ribosomal RNA
Source: RNAcentral
AUUGAACGCUGGCGGCAUGCCUUACACAUGCAAGUCGAACGGCAGCACGGGAGCAAUCCUGGUGGCGAGUGGCGAACGGGUGAGUAAUAUAUCGGAACGUGCCCAGUCGUGGGGGAUAACGUAGCGAAAGCUACGCUAAUACCGCAUACGAUCUAUGGAUGAAAGCGGGGGAUCGCAAGACCUCGCGCGAUUGGAGCGGCCGAUAUCAGAUUAGGUAGUUGGUGGGGUAAAGGCUCACCAAGCCAACGAUCUGUAGCUGGUCUGAGAGGACGACCAGCCACACUGGAACUGAGACACGGUCCAGACUCCUACGGGAGGCAGCAGUGGGGAAUUUUGGACAAUGGGCGCAAGCCUGAUCCAGCAAUGCCGCGUGCAGGAUGAAGGCCUUCGGGUUGUAAACUGCUUUUGUACGGAACGAAACGGUGAGCUCUAAUAAAGCUUGCUAAUGACGGUACCGUAAGAAUAAGCACCGGCUAACUACGUG